UACGAAGGGUGCAAGCGUUAAUCGGAAUUACUGGGCGUAAAGGGUGCGUAGGCGGUUAUUUAAGUCUGCCGUGAAAUCCCCGGGCUCAACCUGGGAAUGGCGGUGGAUACUGGAUAGCUAGAGUGUGUCAGAGGAUGGUGGAAUUCCCGGUGUAGCGGUGAAAUGCGUAGAGAUCGGGAGGAACAUCAGUGGCGAAGGCGGCCAUCUGGAUCAACACUGACGCUGAGGCACGAAAGCGUGGGGAGCAAACAGG
Molecule: ribosomal RNA, 253 nt
Filed under: uncultured bacterium
Lineage: Bacteria
Description: partial 16S ribosomal RNA
Rfam family: Bacterial small subunit ribosomal RNA
Source: RNAcentral